This is a long non-coding RNA of Callithrix jacchus (white-tufted-ear marmoset), 2826 nucleotides long. RefSeq lists it as uncharacterized. The record is from RefSeq and is a predicted model, not a curated record. NCBI's taxonomy places the organism in Eukaryota, Metazoa, Chordata, Mammalia, Primates, Cebidae.
GCUGCUGCUGGCAGAAGCAAACUCUGUGCAGGCCCCUGGCAGCUCCGGAUGGGGGUGCCUGUGACCUCCUUGGCCCCAGAGGGCGUAUUACAGUGGUCUUUUAGCUCUGCCAUUCGUGGUUGGCUUGUGUUAACAGUUCAGUGAGCCCUUUGCCUUGUCGCAUGGGGCGGCUGCCCUCCGCCAGCGAGGAAAAAGGGCUAGUGUGACAGCCUUUUGUAUCUGCACUUGUGGUUCCAAAGUUCUCGUCUGCAGGAAAAAUGAGGUCGCAAGAACGAACUGAAGAAUGGUAAAUGUGGGGAUUUUAUUGCCAAUGAAAGCAGCUUUCAGCGGGAAGGGGAGCUGAAAAAAGGAUGAGACUGCUGUUAUUUUGUAUCCUGUUGUGAUAACAGAACGCACUUUGGUCAUAGCGGGAAUAAAGCUUCAGGAGACAUAUCUACUGAAAAAAAAAGAUGGAAAGAAUAAAAGAAAAAAGGAUCUGGGCUAACAACCAGCGUUCAUGAGGUUUUAUGAAAGAGUUAAUUACCUGUGUUGAUGCAAGACAUAGCAACAUGUGAUAUAGACCCAAGGCAGCAGAAAGAACUGGCAGAAAAAAAGGCAAGGAAGAGAAGAUCUCAUGUAUGAGCUCAGAUACAGUCCCAAGGGGAAAUUGGAGAGGACAGCAUAAUCUGGACCAGAAUAAAGCUGUCUAACCGUACCAAGUGAAGCUUGAAUAAGGAGGCUACAUGUCUGGUGUUAAUCUUAUGCUCAACGGUAAGUGUAAUCAUUUGGCACACUGUGUAGGGGCCAUAGGCUCUUCCAAAACCUCACUCUAGGCUAGGGAGUUUCCAUCAGAUAUCUCAUUCUCUUUGAGCCCAGAGUGGCCAAUCAUGCAAGCAGUCAGUGUAGGCAAAAAGUGACAGACAGACAUUCACAAGAUUACAGUGAAAGUUCCGGCUAAAUACUACGUUAAGGGAUAGUUAUCAAUCCCUAGUUUUAAUGCUGUUAGACACAUUUGAAGCAGGGGAAGUAUUUCACAGCCAAAAGUAUAACUUUCUUCUUACAAAUCCCAGUUUUAUUCUGUUGAGCAGAGAUCAAAGGAAAAACAUUUGAAUUUUUCCACCUACAUUUCUGGUCAAGCACUAUCAGCUUUUAUAACUGGAUUUGACAACCACUCUAAAAAUAAGCAAAAUAAAAAUAAAUAAACUUUGAGAACUUAGUUGGAUAUAUUCUCAGAGGGAAUUCUGUAACCACCUCAAAUCUGGCUGUUUGCCACUCUGAGAUUGAAAACAAAAGAGGUUAGGUGUGGUGAAAGAAAAGUUUUAUUAAGUGAAGGCUAGAAGUCGGGAAAUGGCCAGGUUUCUGCCCUUAAAAACCAUUUCCAAUUUUUGGGCAGAGCUAAGGGAUUUAAGAAGGAAACAGGUAGGAGUGAUCCGGGAGGGUGUAGGUCUGCAUGUCCUAUUCUUAUGAAUAAUCUUAUGCAUGUCUUCUUAUUUGAAUGAUCUCUCAUCUGAAGGUUUGGUUGGAAUCACCUUGACUUUGGCCAGAUUGUGCUGGACUAAUUGUUUGUGACUCCUCCUAAGUGGGAGGAUCCUGCAGCUGGCUCUCUGUCCUGGUUUGUUUCUAAAUUGGCCCCUGGAAUUUCUAAGCAAGCACAUAAUUAAAUAAGUGAGCACUUUGCAUAGGAGUUCUCGGCCAGAAAGAAAGGGAAGCAAACAGUUCUAAAGUAUACAAGGCUAAAUUCUGAGAUUAAGAAGGAAAGGAAAAAAAAGUUUCAAAAUGCAUUUUGAAGCUAAGCUACUCAGUUACAAUUCCAGUAAGUAGAGAAGGAAUGAGAAGGAAUGGUGCCUCUGAUGAAUGGUGCUCCAGGUCAAGAACAUCCUCCAUAAUAAAGCUGUCUGUUGAAGUGAGGGAACUGAAAGCAUCCACAGGCCAAUCACAGACCCCAUCAAAUUGGCGGUCACUUGAGAAACACCUAAGCACUCAAGAUUGCUUAUUUUCACAGCUUUGAAGGUGACUCAGCUCCUCAUAUAUAAUAAGCCUAAACAACUAGGCCCUCUUGUGACCAGUCUGUGUGGGUUGAUGGAGUGUCAGAGUGUCAGAGACACUCCAUAACAAAGAGCUGAAAGGAAGUCACCACACACAGGCUUAAGGAGUAUAGAAAAUGCUUUCCAACAUCUGGGAAUCCUAUAAUUGGAGCUGGAAAAACAGAAACUUUGCGAUGACCAGGCUGGGAUAUAAUUUCCACAAAUUGGAAGUUUUUUGGAAGCAGCGGUUCAGAAGAAGGUAAAGAGGCCAUGCCAUAGAUGAUAUUAAUCAUGACAAGUGGCCUUUGUCACAAGAGAAUAAAGGACUGGACAACUAUCUACAUGUGUGUGUCUGAAGUCAUAUAAACCUUAUAUGCGUCAUUCCUAAAUACCUUUGUAUUCAUUUCUACAAAAGAUAUUUAUUGGGAAGUUAUGAUAAACCUGGUUAAAGUACUGAAAACUAUGAGACACAUAAAGUAAUCAAGGUCAAUUUCAGAAGAAAUAAAACCUCCUUUUUCUAAUGUUUCACUGAGAAUCUUAACCUCUGACUUAAAUUGCUCUUGAAAGAGGAUCAUGAAUAAAAUUUAAACUUGACUGGAACAAAAUGUAGGCUGUGAAUUGUGUAUUUUGGCAGAGAAAAUCACCUUUACCCCAAAGAAUAUUUGCACCCUCCCAAAAGUUAUUAUUAACUGGAAAACUUAAACAUGAUAUGAAUCAUUUUUUCAAUUAAAAAAUAAAAACCUACUGAAUUUUUCUUAUCCUGCUUCUCUCUGAUUCUGAACAUAUUUUUCCUAAAAAACAUGUAAUGGAGUACCUAGUAUAU